GACGAACGCUGGCGGCGUGCUUAACACAUGCAAGUCGAACGGAAAGGCCCUGCUUUUGUGGGGUGCUCGAGUGGCGAACGGGUGAGUAACACGUGAGUAACCUGCCCUUGACUUUGGGAUAACUUCAGGAAACUGGGGCUAAUACCGGAUAGGAGCUCCUGCUGCAUGGUGGGGGUUGGAAAGUUUCGGCGGUUGGGGAUGGACUCGCGGCUUAUCAGCUUGUUGGUGGGGUAGUGGCUUACCAAGGCUUUGACGGGUAGCCGGCCUGAGAGGGUGACCGGCCCAAAUGGGACUGGGAUACGGGCCCGACUCCUACGGGGGGCAGGAGUGGGGAAUAUUGCACAAUGGGCGGAAGCCCGAUGCAGCAACGCCGCGUGCGGGAUGACGGCCUUCGGGUUUGAAACCGCUUUCGCCUGUGACGAAGCGUGAGUGACGGUAAUGGGUAAAGAAGCACCGGCUAACUACGUG
RNAcentral lists this ribosomal RNA (468 nucleotides) under uncultured bacterium. RNAcentral describes it as "partial 16S ribosomal RNA". It matches the Rfam family "Bacterial small subunit ribosomal RNA", at positions 28 to 507 of the family's 1533-position model. The record is from RNAcentral.